AGUGAACGCUGGCGGCAGGCCUAACACAUGCAAGUCGAACGGCAGCACAGUAAGAGCUUGCUCUUACGGGUGGCGAGUGGCGGACGGGUGAGGAAUACAUCGGAAUCUACUUUUUCGUGGGGGAUAACGUAGGGAAACUUACGCUAAUACCGCAUACGACCUACGUGUGAAAGCAGGGGAUCUUCGGACCUUGCGCGAGUGGAUGAGCCGAUGUCGGAUUCGCUAGUUGGCGGGGUAAAGGCCCACCAAGGCGACGAUCCGUAGCUGGUCUGAGAGGAUGAUCAGCCACACUGGAACUGAGACACGGUCCAGACUCCUACGGGAGGCAGCAGUGGGGAAUAUUGGACAAUGGGCGAAAGCCUGAUCCAGCCAUACCGCGUGGGUGAAGAAGGCCUUCGGGUUGUAAAGCCCUUUUGUUGGGAAAGAAAAGCAGCAGGUUAAUACCCCGCUGUUCUGACGGUACCCAAAGAAUAAGCACCGGCUAACUUCGUG
RNAcentral lists this ribosomal RNA (492 nucleotides) under uncultured bacterium. RNAcentral's name for it is "partial 16S ribosomal RNA". It matches the Rfam family "Bacterial small subunit ribosomal RNA", at positions 29 to 507 of the family's 1533-position model. The record is from RNAcentral.